RNAcentral lists this ribosomal RNA (400 nucleotides) under uncultured bacterium. RNAcentral describes it as "partial 16S ribosomal RNA". It matches the Rfam family "Bacterial small subunit ribosomal RNA", at positions 523 to 918 of the family's 1533-position model. The record is from RNAcentral.
AUACGUAGGUGACAAGCGUUAUCCGGAUUUACUGGGCGUAAAGGGCGUGUAGGCGGUCUUGCAAGUCAGAAGUGAAAUUCCUGAGCUCAACUCGGGCGCUGCUUCUGAAACUGCAGGACUUGAGUGCUGGAGGGGAUAGCGGAAUUCCUCGUGGAGCGGUAAAAUGCGCAGAUAUUAGGAAGGACACCGGUGGCGAAGGCGGCGAACUGGAGAGAAACUGACGAGGAGGAACGAAAGCAGGGGGAGCAAACAUGAUUAGGUACCCGGGUAGUCCUGGCCGUAAACGAUGUGGACUUGGUGUUGGGAUGGCUUCGAGCUGCUCCAGUGCCGAAGGGAAGCUGUUAAGUCCAUCGCCUGGGAAGUACGGUCGCAAGACUGAAACUCAAAUGAAUUGGCGGGG